CUUGCGGUGAUGAAGCGAUAACAUAUAAGAAGGAUCUAUUUGUUGGAUUCUUCGUUGAAAUGUACUUGUUACGCUUGGCUUCUGAGCUUC
This is a non-coding RNA of Gossypium raimondii (Peruvian cotton), 90 nucleotides long. The record is from Rfam. NCBI's taxonomy places the organism in Eukaryota, Viridiplantae, Streptophyta, Magnoliopsida, Malvales, Malvaceae.